CCCAGCCGGCACACGACCGACCUUCAACGUUGAAAUAUGGUUGAAAUAAGGUCAGAUGUGUUUUGAACGUUGAAAUAAUGUUGACAGAACGUUUAAUGUUGAACGGUUGAAAAACAGCCUGCAUAUGACAAGGCUUCAACGUUGAAAUGUGGUUGAAAAUACGUCAGUUGUUGUUUUAAUGUUGAAACAAUGUUGAAUGAUAAAUGGUUGAAGAAAGUUACAGAAAUCCUUGUACAAAUCAACGUUGACAUUUUUUUAUCAUGAUCUGUAUGUUGAAUUAACGUCAUGGCUUCACCCAAUAUUCAACAUGUUUGGUUACCAUGGUAUCGGAGGACUCGGCGCACGCGGCCACGCGCAGCGCUUCACUUCACUUAAUUACGAACACCUGACCUGCAGUGCAGCAGAAUUCAGAGACAUGUAACUUACUCCAGAGACGCACUAACUUGCACAGCAUUGAAUGGAAAAGGCUUUGUCCAUGUCCAGUUGAGGGCAUCAAGAACACGCAGAUAGCCUAAAUGUGUCAGCCUGGACAGACUGCAGUUCUGCUACUCCAUGCUAAGGCUUUUGUAUGGAUGUCUUGACUGCUACAGUGUUCUCUAAAGGUUUUCUGGAAGCUCCAUUUGAGGGCAUCAAGGACAUACUGAUGGCCUAAACCAGUGUCAGCCUAGACAGACAGACAUCUAUUGCAGUUCUGCUACACAAGACCAAACUCUGCUUUUGUAUGGAUGUCUGACUAGUACGGUGUUCUCUAAAGGUAUAACUGGAGCAAAACAAUAGCAUCCGUUACAGUGAAAUUUGUGUUCAUAAAAGAUAGUGAUAUAUGUGUAACAGGUCCAGUACAUUUGUCAUAAAGGUUAAAUCACAGUAAGUACUGUAAAAAUAACUUGUUUGCCUUUGCCACAACAGGUCAUGGUGUGUGCAUACUGCUCGUAGUAAACACACACGCUGAUCUGAUGCGGGAGAGAUAUGCGCAAACACAUUUGUAUUUACUGUUUUGUUUUGCCUCACUAAAGUGUUGUUGGAGCUUGGUAUGUUCACAGUUGAAAUCACUGAAGUCACAUGGAACGUUUUGACAAUGUGUUUUGUGCCUUAUCUUGACAAUGACCAUCUUGGGACCAUUGCUGUCUGUAGAGGAUGAGGCAUUUAAUCUAAAAUAUUUUAGUUUGUGUUCUGAAGAUUAACAGGUCUCUGGGAUGACACAAGUAAUUAAUAACAGAACCUAUAUGAACACUUAAUGUGACAUGUAAUAGUGAAAUAGUGGUCCUACAUUCACAAAUGUGAGCCAUUAUUAUAAGACCCCUGUAAACAUGCAAUUUUUAUGAUACUAAUAAUAAUGGAAUAACAAAUUGCUAUUACUGUUGUGUUUGUGAGAGAGAAUCAAACCAUAUAUUCUACACAUUUUCUUGAUGAUUUACUGAAAUAUUUGUCUAUGUUCCACUGUCACAGGUGCUCAGUUUUGCUGCAGUAAUGCUAAACACAAUAGAUGUACUUUAUACAAAAAAAAAAAAACUACUAAAUAUUUAGCAUGCAGACCUGCAAAGUGAAGGAGUAAUGUCAGGUUUAGAUUAUAGCAUGAGUUUUCACUAUUGUGAAAGUGAAGCCAUUCAUUCACAAUGAAUUGGAAUAGCAAACCUCGUUAUUUAUUUUGUAGGAAACUCACCUGGUGUUUGAGAAAUAAAUAUGUAUUUAAGUGCUAGACUGAUAUAGAUGUUUUAGUGUUUUACACUUGAUUCUUUGUCCCCAGUGCCAUCUUUUACCUCAAGUGUUUCUCUCAACCUAUAAAACCUCAAACAGAUGUAAUGUAU
Molecule: non-coding RNA, 1805 nt
Organism: Danio rerio (zebrafish)
Lineage: Eukaryota; Metazoa; Chordata; Actinopteri; Cypriniformes; Danionidae
Source: Ensembl